Arabidopsis lyrata subsp. lyrata is the source of this 444-nucleotide long non-coding RNA. RefSeq lists it as uncharacterized. The transcript is spliced from 3 exons. NCBI's taxonomy places the organism in Eukaryota, Viridiplantae, Streptophyta, Magnoliopsida, Brassicales, Brassicaceae. The record is from RefSeq and is a predicted model, not a curated record.
UAUAUGGGAAGAGCAUCUAUAAAACAAAACCAAGCUUCUUAUCAUUCACGAAUCCACUCUUCUCUCAAUUUCUUGUUUAGUUAUUUCUCAACUAUGGAUUCUUCCCCCGUUGCACCAGUUCGUGGGCAGGAUGACUACCCCAACCUGAAACCGAUUCGGACCAGCAAUAUCAAAGGGACAAAAGACAAACAAGACAAAAGUUAAAUCAAGCACGAAAUGGUCAAAAAGGGGAAAAAAAAAUACCAAACAUCGAAAAGUGAGGAAGAAGAAAGAUGAUGCAUGUUUUAUCUUAUCUAAUUAUUGUGGAUUAAAUAAUUUGAAUUUGCAUCGGAUGAAUUUUUUCUUCCUCUUAUCUUUUUCUUCAUUUUCAACUUAUUUUCUGUAACUUCUGUACAAGUAUUUAUUCAAAAUGCUAUUGAAAAUCAAAAUAUGGUUCUUUUUUGA